RNAcentral lists this ribosomal RNA (253 nucleotides) under uncultured bacterium. Its description in RNAcentral is "partial 16S ribosomal RNA". It matches the Rfam family "Bacterial small subunit ribosomal RNA", at positions 524 to 776 of the family's 1533-position model. The record is from RNAcentral.
UACAGAGGUCUCAAGCGUUGUUCGGAUUCAUUGGGCGUAAAGGGUGCGUAGGCGGUGCUGUAAGUCAGGUGUGAAAUCUCGGGGCUCAACCCCGAAACUGCACUUGAUACUGCAGUGCUCGAGGACUGGAGAGGAGAUUGGAAUUCAUGGUGUAGCAGUGAAAUGCGUAGAUAUCAUGAGGAAGACCAGUGGCGAAGGCGGAUCUCUGGACAGUUCCUGACACUGAGGCACGAAGGCCAGGGGAGCAAACGGG